GUCUAUGGCCAUGCCACCCUGAACGUGCCUGAUCUCGUCUGAUCUUGAAAGUUAAGCAGGGUCGGGCCGGUUAGUACUUGGAAGGGAGACUACCUAGGAAGAUGGGGUGCUGUUUGUG
This 118-nucleotide ribosomal RNA is filed under the name Pteropus alecto (black flying fox). Lineage: Eukaryota; Metazoa; Chordata; Mammalia; Chiroptera; Pteropodidae. The record is from RNAcentral.